UAGCCUACGGGACGCAGCAGUAGGGAAUUUUCGUCAAUGGGCGCAAGCCUGAACGAGCGAUGCCGCGUGAGUGAAGAAGGCCUUCGGGUCGUAAAGCUCUGUUGCGGGGGAAAAAAGGCAGCAUCAGGAAAUGGGUGCUGACUGAUGGUGCCCCGCCAGAAAGUCACGGCUAACUACGUGCCAGCAGCCGCGGUAAUACGUAGGUGGCGAGCUUUAUCCGGAAUGAUUGGGCGUAAAGGGUGCGCAGGCGGUCCUGCCAGUCUGGAUUGAACCGCAUGAUCU
This 282-nucleotide ribosomal RNA is filed under the name uncultured bacterium. RNAcentral's name for it is "partial 16S ribosomal RNA". It matches the Rfam family "Bacterial small subunit ribosomal RNA", at positions 334 to 609 of the family's 1533-position model. The record is from RNAcentral.